Molecule: ribosomal RNA, 497 nt
Filed under: uncultured bacterium
Lineage: Bacteria
Description: partial 16S ribosomal RNA
Rfam family: Bacterial small subunit ribosomal RNA
Source: RNAcentral
GAUGAACGCUGGCGGCGUGCCUAAUACAUGCAAGUCGAGCGAGCGGAGGGGAAGUUUGCUUCUCUGAUGUUAGCGGCGGAUGGGUGAGUAACAAGUGGAUAACCUACCUAUAAGACUGGGAUAACUGCGGGGAAUCCUAGCUAAUAAUGGAAGAUAUUUUGAACCGCAUGGUUUAAUAGAGAAAGACGGUCUUGUUGUCGAUUAUAGAUGGAUACGCGCUGCAUUAGGUAGUUGGUAAGGUAACGGCUCACCAAGGCAACGAUGCAUAGCCGACCUGCGAGGAUGAUCGGCCACACUGGGACUGAGACCCGGUCCAGACUCAUACGGGAGCCAGCAUUAGGGAAUCUUCCGCCAUGAGCGAAGACCUGACGGAGCAACACCGCGUGAGUGAUGAAGGUCUUCGGAUCGUAAAACUCUGUUAUUCGGGAAGAAAAUAUGUGUAAGUAACCGUGCACAUCUUGACGGUACCUACUCAGAAAGCCACGGCUAACUACGUG